This 253-nucleotide ribosomal RNA is filed under the name uncultured bacterium. Its description in RNAcentral is "partial 16S ribosomal RNA". It matches the Rfam family "Bacterial small subunit ribosomal RNA", at positions 524 to 776 of the family's 1533-position model. The record is from RNAcentral.
UACGAGGGGGGCAAGCGUUGUUCGGAAUUAUUGGGCGUAAAGGGUGCGUAGGCGGUUUGGUAAGUCGGAUGUGAAAUCCCUCGGCUCAACUGAGGAAGUGCAUCCGAAACUGGCAGGCUUGAGUACUAAAGAGGGUCGCGGAAUUCCCGGUGUAGAGGUGAAAUUCUUAGAUAUCGGGAGGAACACCGGUGGCGAAGGCGGCGACCUGGGUAGAUACUGACGCUGAGGUGCGAAAGCGUGGGGAGCGAACAGG